This 471-nucleotide ribosomal RNA is filed under the name Cladosporium sp. RNAcentral describes it as "eukaryotic LSU rRNA". The stretch from base 99 to 252 matches the Rfam family "5.8S ribosomal RNA". The record is from RNAcentral. Lineage: Eukaryota; Fungi; Ascomycota; Dothideomycetes; Cladosporiales; Cladosporiaceae.
GCCUCCGGGGCGACCCUGCCUUCGGGCGGGGGCUCCGGGUGGACACUUCAAACUCUUGCGUAACUUUGCAGUCUGAGUAAACUUAAUUAAUAAAUUAAAACUUUUAACAACGGAUCUCUUGGUUCUGGCAUCGAUGAAGAACGCAGCGAAAUGCGAUAAGUAAUGUGAAUUGCAGAAUUCAGUGAAUCAUCGAAUCUUUGAACGCACAUUGCGCCCCCUGGUAUUCCGGGGGGCAUGCCUGUUCGAGCGUCAUUUCACCACUCAAGCCUCGCUUGGUAUUGGGCAACGCGGUCCGCCGCGUGCCUCAAAUCGACCGGCUGGGUCUUCUGUCCCCUAAGCGUUGUGGAAACUAUUCGCUAAAGGGUGUUCGGGAGGCUACGCCGUAAAACAACCCCAUUUCUAAGGUUGACCUCGGAUCAGGUAGGGAUACCCGCUGAACUUAAGCAUAUCAAUAAGCGGAGGAANCNCNUU